This 302-nucleotide unclassified non-coding RNA is filed under the name Trechispora sp. RNAcentral's name for it is "partial contains 5.8S ribosomal RNA, internal transcribed spacer 2, and large subunit ribosomal RNA". The record is from RNAcentral. RNAcentral also lists the same sequence under 3 other names. Lineage: Eukaryota; Fungi; Basidiomycota; Agaricomycetes; Trechisporales; Hydnodontaceae.
AACGCACAUUGCGCCUUUCGGCAUUCCGGAGGGCAUGCCUGUUCGAGAGUCAUUAACAACCAGUUCAAUCCCUCUUUGAAAAUAUUUGGGGGAUUGGUUAUUGGUGAAUGAGGGGAUGCGUGCAUCACGUUGAAUCACCUCACCACCGAAAUUCAGAGGCGGUUUGUCCCCACGUGUUUGUGGCGUUGUAAAGGCUUACCAGCACUAUUCGCUCGCAUCGUGGGUGCACUGCUUGCCAUUGGAGAAAUCCCCAUUCAUCAAAGGUUGACCUCGGAUCAGGUAGGGAUACCCGCUGAACUUAA